CCUACGGGUGGCUGCAGUGGGGAAUAUUGGACAAUGGGCGAAAGCCUGAUCCAGCCAUGCCGCGUGUGUGAAGAAGGCCUUCGGGUUGUAAAGCACUUUCAGUGGGGAAGAAAGCCUUGGGGCUAAUACCCUCGAGGAAGGACAUCACCCACAGAAGAAGCACCGGCUAACUCCGUGCCAGCAGCCGCGGUAAUACGGAGGGUGCGAGCGUUAAUCGGAAUUACUGGGCGUAAAGCGCGCGUAGGCGGUCUGAUAAGCCGGUUGUGAAAGCCCCGGGCUCAACCUGGGAACGGCAUCCGGAACUGUCAGGCUAGAGUGCAGGAGAGGGAGGUAGAAUUCCCGGUGUAGCGGUGAAAUGCGUAGAGAUCGGGAGGAAUACCAGUGGCGAAGGCGGCCUUCUGGACUGACACUGACGCUGAGGUGCGAAAGCGUGGGUAGCAAACAGGAUUAGAUACCCCGGUAGUC
RNAcentral lists this ribosomal RNA (465 nucleotides) under Vreelandella stevensii. RNAcentral describes it as "partial 16S ribosomal RNA". It matches the Rfam family "Bacterial small subunit ribosomal RNA", at positions 338 to 795 of the family's 1533-position model. The record is from RNAcentral. Lineage: Bacteria; Pseudomonadati; Pseudomonadota; Gammaproteobacteria; Oceanospirillales; Halomonadaceae.